Molecule: long non-coding RNA, 1015 nt
Organism: Glossina fuscipes
Lineage: Eukaryota; Metazoa; Arthropoda; Insecta; Diptera; Glossinidae
Exons: 6
Source: RefSeq, a predicted model, not a curated record
GUUUCGAACGUAUAAAAAAGCAAAUAACGUAAUAGGAUAUAAUUAAAUUAUUUUAGUAAUAAUAUGAUUACAAUAGUGAUAAACCAAAGUUGUGACUGAAAAUCGUAAAGACAUUUCCGCAAUUGCUUCAAUUAAAAUCAUGCUUCAUCCUAACUCCACGUCCAUCAGCAAAGAUGUUUGUGUCUGCGGAAGUCGACUUGCGCUAAGGAUCUCAAUAACAGAUGGCUUAAAAAUAGGCCGGCGGGCAUAUAGGCCAACAGAAUGUGGCUAAGUCGAAUUGAACUUGAAUCAGAGAAACAUGCGAUAUGCAAGUGUUACGGUACAGAAAAACUCUGCUACAUAUGCUCCAUAAAUUUCUAUAUAUAUAUCAAGAAUCUGAUGGCGAGCGAAACAAUAAUAUAUCUUAGAGCAGACCUUGAGAUCGUAUCGGUUACGGCAGGUGAAUGUUAUUGAGUUCAUUGUAGCAUCUUGGCAUCACUUGAUGCUCUUAUGAUCGCAUUCUUAUUACAAUGCAUGCAAAAGCAUGUGAUCGAAUAAGCAAGCCAUGAUGUAGCUAAAGCCCAAUGAAGCACUAAUGGAGACAUAAACUCGUUAAUUUUAAGGCAAUUUCACUGCAGUUGCAUCAAUACAAACACCAUACGGCGAGGAGAAAAGAUUGGUUCUUCAAUAACUCCUCCGUGUUCAAAGGCUGUGACCUGGAUUUCCUACCUCCAUCUUAGAUUGGGAUUUCGUCAACUAUAUGAUGCUGAAUAAAAUGCUUUGGUCGACAAUUUCGGACAUGACUUCACACAACCCUUUUUACCACCUUUUCUAAACUGGAUUAUAAAAAGUGGGAUUGGUUGCAUUAAGAUCACCACGUCUUGAGGCCGAUUCAAUAUUAUUCGGUUUUGCACACUUUCCAGCCAUCUAAGAAGUUUUACAAACUGAAUCCUUGCGACGAUUACGUCAACCCUAUGAACUUACCACGCAUAGAAUAUAGAAAACAAAUCUUUAUUUAUUUUGUUUUUUUAUUUAA